CAGUAGCCACGGGAAUACGUAGGUGGCAAGCGUUGUCCGGAUUUAUUGGGCGUAAAGCGAGCGCAGGCGGUCAAUUAAGUCUGAUGUGAAAGCCCCCGGCUCAACCGGGGAGGGUCAUUGGAAACUGGGAAACUUGAGUGCAGAAGAGGAGAGUGGAAUUCCACGUGUAGCGGUGAAAUGCGUAGAGAUGUGGAGGAACACCAGUGGCGAAGGCGACUCUCUGGUCUGUAACUGACGCUGAGGAGCGAAAGCGUGGGGAGCGAACAGGAUUAGAUACCCCGGUAGUCCCUGUCUCUUAUAC
RNAcentral lists this ribosomal RNA (301 nucleotides) under uncultured bacterium. RNAcentral's name for it is "partial 16S ribosomal RNA". It matches the Rfam family "Bacterial small subunit ribosomal RNA", at positions 509 to 807 of the family's 1533-position model. The record is from RNAcentral.